UAUGAUGCACUUCUCCUAGUACGAAAGGACCGGAGAAGUGGGGUCAAUACUACAAGCACACCCCCCCUUCCAAGCAAUGAAUCCAACUUAACUGCUAAAAAGACUUCCCCCCCCACCCAAAGCUCCUAGAAAAGGACUC
This 139-nucleotide ribosomal RNA is filed under the name Acryllium vulturinum (vulturine guineafowl). Its description in RNAcentral is "partial 16S ribosomal RNA". The record is from RNAcentral. Lineage: Eukaryota; Metazoa; Chordata; Aves; Galliformes; Numididae.